Molecule: long non-coding RNA, 800 nt
Organism: Bombus huntii
Lineage: Eukaryota; Metazoa; Arthropoda; Insecta; Hymenoptera; Apidae
Exons: 5
Source: RefSeq, a predicted model, not a curated record
UUUCCUAGCCACCGACGCGGUUCUCUCUCACCCUUGUGUUCGCCGGAGCAACCCCCUCGGUGCCGGAUCCGAAAGAGAAAGGGAGGAGGAAACCGUGGAGGUGGAGGUGGAGGAACGAGAUGUUCUGUAUUCGUGGUUCCCCAUGUCGUCGUUGUGCAUUCACAUCCACUCCACGAUAACGGUGUUCACGCGUGUACCUUUGAGCAUUCCCUCCGAGGAUCCGCCGAUCGUCCUUUGUUCCGAAGAUGGCUGGUGGAGAAUUUCAGAUGAAUUUUAAGAAAGCUCGUGAGAAGGUGGCGGGUCCUUGAGUGCCGCAGAAGAAGAAGCCACGACGCCAGAAAACGAAAAUCGUCAGGCAGACUGGAAUGGCGAGCAACAGACCGACCAAUACGCCGAUCAGGAUCGUCGCGUCCCUUUCCGGUUUUGCAUUGUAUAAGUCCAAGCAACGCAAGCUUCGAUGGGAUAACGAAGACAAGUUCUUGCCAGCGUGUUCCGGCGGGAAAGUACAGGUAUAGUUUCAUUGGAAUUCGGUUUAAUGGAGAGAAUAUUUCAUACGAUAUAUUUGGCCAAAAAGAGCGAUGGAAGUGAUAUUUCAGAAAGAGGAUAGUUCGACUAGAUCGACCUGUAAAUCGAAGACUACCAGCAGAGGAACACUGACACUAAAAAUCAACAAUGCUACACGUAACAGAUUUUUCACCUCUGAUCUUCAAUUGGCAUCGAAGGAACGAUCGAUUGGUUGGAUGGAAAGUACGCGAUACAAAUGGAAGUGGAUUGUGCGUUUCGUGAUUGCCAGAACUUAC